Molecule: unclassified non-coding RNA, 2957 nt
Filed under: Hevea brasiliensis (rubber tree)
Lineage: Eukaryota; Viridiplantae; Streptophyta; Magnoliopsida; Malpighiales; Euphorbiaceae
Source: RNAcentral
CUUUUAUUUUUUUAAAAAGCUCAAAAUAGUUUGGUUAGCGGCUACCAAAUGAUAAGGAAGAAAAUCGAAUCAAACAUUCCUAAUAAUCAUCAAAUCCAAGUCCAAAGGAUCGUAGCCAACCCAUGUGAUAUGAGGGCUAAAAUGGACUUCCUGAAUUUACAAUCAAACGGUAAGACAUAGGAUUACAAUUAUACACUAGGUGACCAUCCAGUAAAUCAAGCUUUAAACAAAGAAUUAUCAUUUUUAUUAUCACCGUAGAUGGUGGGAUGAUCACGAGCAAAAAAAGGCAUAACCCACGUAAAUUUGUGUCAUCAAACUCUGCAAACGCAAAAUUGACUGAGUUUGCGUUUUAGCGCCUCAAAAGAACCCAACACUUUUAUUCUACUCAACCACUGUUUCCUAUCUAAUGACUGAUGGCGAGGGAAAAAAAAACAACCGCGGCUCAAUGUUAAUAAUGGCAACUGCAAGGAAAGGUAUACUGAGAAACGACUGAAACAGCUACUGAUUGAUUUACAGCAACAUUGAUUCAGGAUUCUCAAUGUAGCCCUUGAACGCUUUUAGCCAUUCAGCACCAACUGCACCAUCUAUGACACGAUGAUCACAACUUAGGGUUACUGACAUGAAGGAAGCAAACUUAAAUUCAUCAGGACCCAAACCAGGAAUAACCCUCUUCUCAGCAGAGCCAACCGCAAGAAUGCCUGAUUGAGGAGGAUUGACGAUGGCACAGAAUUGCUUGAUGCCAAAAGGCCCUCCCAAAUUUGACACAGUAAAUGUGCCUCCCUCAUAAUCUUCUGGUUUCAAGCUAUUCUCUUUGGCUUUCUGCGCCAAAAACUUGACCUCCUCAGCAAUUUUAGACAAACCUUUCUUGUCUGCAUCCUGCAAAUUUUACACCAUAAAAUGAAGUCAUUAGAACAUAAGUAUUAUGAAAUAACAGUACUGAAUAUAGAAAACUGCUUACCUUAACAACUGGAACAUAUAAUCCAUUAUCUGUCUGUACAGCUACAUUAAUAUUCACAUUAUUAUACCUUCAUUUAAAUCAAAAGGGAAGGUAUGUCACAUUACGGAUUACACAAAUUCUCAUAAUGUCUAUUAAUUGUACACUUACUGGCGAAUAUAGUUAUCGGUCCAUGAACUGUUGCAUUGGGGAACUUUUCUAAGAGCCAAAGCAGCAGCCUGUAAUUACGGUGUUGUUGAAAUUACUCUACAGAUCAAACCAAUAAAGAGCUGCUUCUAAAUUUUAAUAGCUUAUGACAACCUCUAGACUGAGUCUCUGAUAUUUCAUGCAUUAUAAAUAUUUCCCAAAACUUGUAUACCUUGAUUACAAGAUCAUUUAUAGAUAUCCGCUUUCCACCUGAGGCCUCUUGUAAUGAAUUUAGUUUGCUCCGCAAAUCCACAAGUUUGUCAACACAUGUGUCUACAGUUAAAUAAUAAUGAGGAAUAGUUUGCUUUGAUAACAAUAAGCGUGAAGCUGUAACCUGUCAAUUUCAUACCAGAAAUAUGCUUCAGAAUAACAAAGAGAAUAUAUUAUAUGCACUAAGAGAAACUGUCUGUGUGACACUGACACCAUGGAAACGGCAUUCAGUAGUUCUAUGAUUAGCAAUGAUAUUGCAGUCAAAUUGUUCAGCGAAGAAAAUUAUUAGCAUAUAUGUGCAGAACUCAACAUCUGGUAGAAAUUAUUGAGCAGAAAACAAGAGAUCCAUGAAUAUUUUUUCUAUCCUAAGUUUCUCAUUAAUCAGGUCUAUGUUUAUUAGUAAUGAUUCCUAAUAUUACCUUUCUUAUCUGGGAAUGAGGAAUGUCAACAUAAUCUAAUGCAGCAGGUGUUGUGUCCUUGGCCUUAGGUGCUGCUGCUGAAACUUCCUUCCCACGUGAUGCCAAGUAAUCUUCAAUAUCAGCCUUCACAAUGUCUCCACCAGGACCUGUUCCUUUAAUGCUUGAGAGAGGUACCUAUAUUUGUGAUAAACAAAGUGAAGCAACAAAAUCAAUUAGAAUAAUAUCGAGAGCAAUAACUGCAUUAUGUCACUGAACAACAUAGUUAGGUCAUAUUAACAUUGUGAUCUUCAGCCAAUUUUCUUGCAAGAGGACUAGCAAAAAUGCGAUCUUCAGGAGUUGCACUGGGCUUGGAAAUCUUUGGUUCUGGUGAACUAACUGUUUCCUCAACCACCUCCUUGGGUGGGGGAGGUGGGGUAGAAGUAGCGGGCCCUUUAGCUGCAGCAGCACCAUCUGAUGCUGAAGGACUGUAAUCCUUAAACUUGGGAAUAUCUUCCUCAUCUUCAACCGUAAUAGCAAUUACCUCACCAACUUUAAUUUCUUUUGAUCCGUCCCCCUUUAUUAUCUUUGCAAGGAAACCUUCUUCCAUGCAUUCCAUCUCGACUGUUGCUUUAUCCGUUUCAACUUCGCAUAGUACUUCACCAGGUGAAAUUUUUUCACCCUCUUUCUUCAGCCACCUUGCUAUAUUACCCUCUGUCAUUGUAGGUGAGAGAGAAGGCAUUCCAAUCUCUUGGUGUGGAGGAAGACCUGAAUCAGAUGAAUAUCCUCUCCUUGACUGUACCUGUGAACAAGAAAAACCCUUCAUGAGUAGUGGUCCAGCCAUUGGGAUCCCAACUUGCAUUAUCGUUCUUGAGACAUUUUUCCUAGAUGCACCAAACAAUGACACAGUGUUAUUAGUAGCAGUGCUAGAGAACUUUUCUUUUUCUGCAGCAUCCUUUUUAUUGAAGAAGAAGCAGGUAUCAUUAGAAAACCAACGAACCAAACAAGCAUGCUGAUGCCGAAGCAAGUUGGGAACAUUUUUUAACUUUUUCGAAUGAUUGAUUAUAUGAGAUGCAUAAGCCAUGACUCGAAUCUUAAAUGAAAUUGCUCAACCAAGAAACGACACCCCUAAAAAAAUUGAACCAAACCGAUGGGAAAGUGAGGAAAAUAAGAGAAAUGAAGAGGCAAAUUGCCUUUGUAUUUUUUUUUUU